CACUGUAAAGCUACCUAGCAUUAACCUUUUAAGUUAAAGAUUGAGAGCAUCUCCUCUCUACAGUGA
Molecule: transfer RNA, 66 nt
Filed under: Alouatta seniculus puruensis
Lineage: Eukaryota; Metazoa; Chordata; Mammalia; Primates; Atelidae
Description: tRNA-Lys
Source: RNAcentral